RNAcentral lists this ribosomal RNA (635 nucleotides) under uncultured bacterium. Its description in RNAcentral is "bacterial SSU rRNA". It matches the Rfam family "Bacterial small subunit ribosomal RNA", at positions 94 to 743 of the family's 1533-position model. The record is from RNAcentral.
AGUGGCGAACGGGUGAGUAACACGUGGGUGAUCUGCCCUGCACUUCGGGAUAAGCCUGGGAAACUGGGUCUAAUACCGGAUAGGAGCCAUUUUUAGUGUGAUGGUUGGAAAGUUUUUUCGGUGUAGGAUGAGCUCGCGGCCUAUCAGCUUGUUGGUGGGGUAAUGGCCUACCAAGGCGGCGACGGGUAGCCGGCCUGAGAGGGUGGACGGCCACAUUGGGACUGAGAUACGGCCCAGACUCCUACGGGAGGCAGCAGUGGGGAAUAUUGCACAAUGGGCGCAAGCCUGAUGCAGCGACGCCGCGUGGGGGAUGACGGCCUUCGGGUUGUAAACUCCUUUCGCUAGGGACGAAGCUUUUUGUGACGGUACCUAGAUAAGAAGCACCGGCUAACUACGUGCCAGCAGCCGCGGUAAUACGUAGGGUGCGAGCGUUGUCCGGAAUUACUGGGCGUAAAGGGCUCGUAGGUGGUUUGUCGCGUCGUCUGUGAAAUUCCGGGGCUUAACUCCGGGCGUGCAGGCGAUACGGGCAUAACUUGAGUACUGUAGGGGUAACUGGAAUUCCUGGUGUAGCGGUGAAAUGCGCAGAUAUCAGGAGGAACACCGAUGGCGAAGGCAGGUUACUGGGCAGUUACUGA